RNAcentral lists this ribosomal RNA (253 nucleotides) under uncultured bacterium. RNAcentral describes it as "partial 16S ribosomal RNA". It matches the Rfam family "Bacterial small subunit ribosomal RNA", at positions 524 to 776 of the family's 1533-position model. The record is from RNAcentral.
UACGGGGGGGGUAAGCGUUGUCCGGAUUUAUUGGGCGUAAAGGGCGUGUAGGCGGCCAGGUAGGUCCGUUGUGAAAACUCGAGGCUCAACCUCGAGACGUCGGCGGAAACCCUCUGGCUAGAGUCCGGAAGAGGAGAGUGGAAUUCCUGGUGUAGCGGUGAAAUGCGCAGAUAUCAGGAAGAACACCCGUGGCGAAGGCGGCUCUCUGGGACGGUACUGACGCUGAGACGCGAAAGCGUGGGGAGCAAACAGG